This 1110-nucleotide unclassified non-coding RNA is filed under the name Hevea brasiliensis (rubber tree). The record is from RNAcentral. Lineage: Eukaryota; Viridiplantae; Streptophyta; Magnoliopsida; Malpighiales; Euphorbiaceae.
AAAAUUUUAUGUAAUAUUGGGUGUAGGGUACAUAAAUCGAACAAAAAUUUAUUGAUCCAGUGAUCCUAUCUACAGAGCCCUUGUGGCUGCUCUUCUGGGUUUCCAGCGGAAUCGUGUGGAAGAAGAUGGAGCACUGGAACAGGAUCUUCAGGUCUGGGCUUCCUUCCUGGACCUGUCAUUUAGGGCUCUGGGUCUUGUUAGGCUUUUUGGGGUUGUCUCUGUAAUUGGGCCUACGCCUUAACUUCUUUUGCAUACUAUUUUUAAGGCCAGUUGUAAUGUUUACCAACCUAAUCCAAUGAAUAUUACUACAGUCUUCAAACAAGAAGCAAUCUUCUUUAAACUGAUCCACUGCUGUAAUAUAUAUUGAACAAAGAUUUCCAGGAAAAAGAAUACCAAUUCGAACCGAGAUAAACAAAAGAUUGAUUUAGUAAUUUGAAGGCCCACCUCGAAUAGAAUCCAACCCUGCUGCCCGAUCAAUUCCAUUUUUGCCUAACCUGCCUUAAUAGUCAACUAAAAACUAUGCUCUCCUUAGACACAAAUUGGGAUUAUGUUGGCACAAAUUAAGUGUAGAAUGAUGUCAAAACUCUUCCGUGUUGUAGAUGUUGAUCAGUUUUCAGAACAAAUCUGCAUGAACAGAGGGUAGGACUACCCAUGUGUCCCUGCCUAAACUAAAUAACAUUGCAAACACCACAUAGCCACAUAUAGGAAAAGAAGCAAGCCGACACUUAUUCCUCCUAAAACUCAGCACCACCAGUAUCUUCAGCCUUCGUGGGAAUGACACGAAUUAUUUCUCAUGUUCUAAGGCUCAUAAAGCUACCUUUAAAAGCUUAAAACUUACAAGAUCAGUCUGGCUUUGCUGUGUAUCGCUUUUGUUUUCUUUCUCAUUCCAAUGGACAGGCAUUCCUGCAAUGCAACACCAAAAACAAUUUGUCAUGUGAAUCUCCAGGCAUCACACAUCAGACACUGAUACAAGUGGUUGCGCUAGAUUAAUCUGCUGAAAUUACUCGAUUAACCAGGCUGCCAAUACUGCAGUUCAAAUAUGAAGAAUAAAAGAAUAGCAUAAAGGAAGAUAUUAGAAUACGUGUGAACUAAAAUAAGUAGGCAAUUGAG